This 1587-nucleotide long non-coding RNA is filed under the name Homo sapiens (human). Its description in RNAcentral is "HSALNT0390772". The record is from RNAcentral. Lineage: Eukaryota; Metazoa; Chordata; Mammalia; Primates; Hominidae.
CUCUUCUCUGUUCCAGAGGGUCUGGAGGCAGCAGUGAAAUCCACCUCAGGUUAGCCCUGGGCCUCAAAUCACUGGAUCCCUGGCGUGCGUGUGUGUGUGUGUGUGUGUGUGUGUGUGUGUGUGUGUUGUGGGGGGGGCGGGUGGGGAGCGGCGUUCUGCUGGACUCUUGAGCCUACCAGCCUCGAGCUUUAGGCAUAGCUUAGGCGGCAUUGUGAGGCACUGGAAAGGGCCCUGGCUGCCCCACCCCCCCAAGGCUGGCUCUAUCAGUUGCUUAUCAGACAAGUUAUGUAACUUCCUGAGGCCUUGCUUUCUCAUCUAUAAUGAGGAUGUUAAUAGCUACCUUAUGGGAAGGUAUGUGGAUUCAGUAAGAUAACACACACAAGCAGUAACUACUCAUCAAACAGUCCCGUCCUCCCCUUCACCAGCCUCAGAGUGGGAGGACUCUAGGAUGACUUGACUAGGCUCCCAGGAGACAUUGUGUGUGAUUCAAAACAUUCAUUGGAUUAAAAGUUCAAAUAUGAAUACAAUCUCUUUACAAGUCAAACUCUGAAGCAUGUGUAAAGGAAGAAAAAAUUCUCCCUUGCCUGCCUGCAGUUUCACUCCGAGAUAUCCAAUGUUCACAGCCUUGGGUGUCCUUCUGCAGAAUUUCUAUCCUCAAACACAAACAUAUAUAGAGGUGUUUCUUUUUCCUUUUUUUUUUCUAACACGUUGAGAUUCCACUAAACAUGUUUCUUUGCAACUUCGUUUUUCAUUUAAACAUAAGUCAUGUACCUUAACCUUGGUAAAUACAUGUGGAUCUAGCUCAUUCAUUUUAAUAGCUGCAUAGGGUUCCAAAGAAAGUAUGAACAAUAAUUUUCCAGCUAUUUCUCAUCUGAUGGAUUUUUUUUCCCACUACAAACAAUGCUGCAACGAUGAUCCUUGCACAAACAUCCUCAUGAAUUGAUGCUUUAAUUUCUAAGGGGUUCUUUCCCCGAAAUAUGAUUACUGGGUCAAAGGGUAUGCUACACACAGUUUAUAUUUUUUUACAGUUUAACACUGAGAGAUGACUUUCUCCAGAUUUUUUCGUUUCCCUCUCGGCGUCUGUUUGUUCCGGACACUUUCACUUUUCGAGUUCCAAGGAGGAGGUAGCCCGCGACACCGGCCGCGGGAAACACGAGUUGCAGCCAGCAUCCUAGUUAGCGUGGAUGCAGGUGGCACUCCGGGGACGAGGGGCUUAGUGGGGAGCACUACACAGCCAGAGGCGGAGGCCCGAGAUCUAGCACGACGCUGGGCAAGUGACGGCCCCUCCCCGGCCUUGGUUUUCUUCUGCGUAGUCUGUGACUCUAAACAACAUUAGGCUCAGCCUGGGCCUAGAGCUGGUGACCUCAAAUCUCGGCCUUUGUUGGCUCCCCUAGGACUGUAGGCUGCGCUUCACCCCUGCUCUGCCCCACUACUUCUCCUCCGCGCGGCCCCACCUUUUCAGAGGAGUUGGCUCAACAAGGCGAGAGAGAGUAAAGCAACCAUCAUGAUGAAUCCCUCCCACAGCUCGGUCAUUUAUUACUUCUGUCCGGCUUUGGCUCGCUCCUGCCCUUUUGGCUCGGCUAUCGA